RNAcentral lists this ribosomal RNA (1369 nucleotides) under uncultured bacterium. RNAcentral's name for it is "bacterial SSU rRNA". It matches the Rfam family "Bacterial small subunit ribosomal RNA", at positions 28 to 1381 of the family's 1533-position model. The record is from RNAcentral.
GAUGAACGCUGGCGGCGUGCCUAAUACAUGCAAGUCGAGCGAACGGACGAGAAGCUUGCUUCUCUGAUGUUAGCGGCGGACGGGUGAGUAACACGUGGAUAACCUACCUAUAAGACUGGGAUAACUUCGGGAAACCGGAGCUAAUACCGGAUAAUAUUUUGAACCGCAUGGUUCAAAAGUGAAAGACGGUCUUGCUGUCACUUAUAGAUGGAUCCGCGCUGCAUUAGCUAGUUGGUAAGGUAACGGCUUACCAAGGCAACGAUGCAUAGCCGACCUGAGAGGGUGAUCGGCCACACUGGAACUGAGACACGGUCCAGACUCCUACGGGAGGCAGCAGUAGGGAAUCUUCCGCAAUGGGCGAAAGCCUGACGGAGCAACGCCGCGUGAGUGAUGAAGGUCUUCGGAUCGUAAAACUCUGUUAUUAGGGAAAGACAUAUGUGUAAGUAACUGUGCACAUCUUGACGGUACCUAAUCAGAAAGCCACGGCUAACUACGUGCCAGCAGCCGCGGUUAUACCUAAGUGGCAAGCGUAUCCGGGAUUUAUGGGCGUAAAGCGCGCGUAGCGGUUUUUUAGUCUGAUGUGAAAGCCCACGGCUCAACCGUGGAGGGUCAUUGGAAACUGGAAAACUUGAGUGCAGAAGAGGAAAGUGGAAUUCCAUGUGUAGCGGUGAAAUGCGCAGAGAUAUGGAGGAACACCAGUGGCGAAGGCGACUUUCUGGUCUGUAACUGACGCUGAUGUGCGAAAGCGUGGGGAUCAAACAGGAUUAGAUACCCUGGUAGUCCACGCCGUAAACGAUGAGUGCUAAGUGUUAGGGGGUUUCCGCCCCUUAGUGCUGCAGCUAACGCAUUAAGCACUCCGCCUGGGGAGUACGACCGCAAGGUUGAAACUCAAAGGAAUUGACGGGGACCCGCACAAGCGGUGGAGCAUGUGGUUUAAUUCGAAGCAACGCGAAGAACCUUACCAAAUCUUGACAUCCUUUGACAACUCUAGAGAUAGAGCCUUCCCCUUCGGGGGACAAAGUGACAGGUGGUGCAUGGUUGUCGUCAGCUCGUGUCGUGAGAUGUUGGGUUAAGUCCCGCAACGAGCGCAACCCUUAAGCUUAGUUGCCAUCAUUAAGUUGGGCACUCUAAGUUGACUGCCGGUGACAAACCGGGGGAAGGUGGGGAUGACGUCAAAUCAUCAUGCCCCUUAUGAUUUGGGCUACACACGUGCUACAAUGGACAAUACAAAGGGCAGCGAAACCGCGAGGUCAAGCAAAUCCCAUAAAGUUGUCCUCAGUUCGGAUUGUAGUCUGCAACUCGACUACAUGAAGCUGGAAUCGCUAGUAAUCGUAGAUCAGCAUGCUACGGUGAAUACGUUCCCGGGUCU